This 120-nucleotide small RNA is filed under the name Cytobacillus oceanisediminis. Its description in RNAcentral is "RNA Staph. aureus E (RoxS)". It matches the Rfam family "RNA Staph. aureus E (RoxS)". From Rfam's summary of the family: It was shown to be regulated by the presence of nitric oxide (NO). In Bacillus subtilis it controls expression of genes with functions related to oxidative stress and oxidation-reduction reactions and it was renamed RoxS (for related to oxidative stress). The record is from RNAcentral. Lineage: Bacteria; Bacillati; Bacillota; Bacilli; Caryophanales; Bacillaceae.
GUGAAGUUGAUCACAAGCAAACAUAUACCCCUUUGUUUGAUCGUGAAAAAUUUCUCCCAUCCCCUUUGUUCGUAUAAAUAAUCCGAAAAAAGCCGUGCUCACGAUCUGCAUGGUUUUUUU